UACAGAGGGUGCUAGCGUUGUUCGGAAUGACUGGGCGUAAAGAGCUCGUAGGCGGUUAUAUCAGUCGAGCGUGAAAUCCCUGGGCUUAACCCAGGAACUGCGCUCGAUACUGUACAACUUGAGUUCAGGAGAGGAAAGCGGAAUUCCUAGUGUAGAGGUGAAAUUCGUAGAUAUUAGGAGGAACAUCAGAGGCGAAGGCGGCUUUCUGGACUGAUACUGACGCUGAGGAGCGAAAGCGUGGGGAGCAAACAGG
RNAcentral lists this ribosomal RNA (253 nucleotides) under uncultured bacterium. RNAcentral describes it as "partial 16S ribosomal RNA". It matches the Rfam family "Bacterial small subunit ribosomal RNA", at positions 524 to 776 of the family's 1533-position model. The record is from RNAcentral.